This 454-nucleotide long non-coding RNA is filed under the name Homo sapiens (human). Its description in RNAcentral is "long non-coding RNA NONHSAT073764.2". Lineage: Eukaryota; Metazoa; Chordata; Mammalia; Primates; Hominidae. The record is from RNAcentral.
GGACACCUCGGGGGUUUCCUGCUUUAUGGCGAAGGUGAAAGAACAUCAGUGUAUCAGCACAGCAAAUAUUCCAAAUGCCAGGCUGGAUUCCCUCCAAUUACCAGGACCUCCAGGCUUCUCCUCCUUUCAAGAACUUUCUGACCCUGGAUCCAGUCUAAAUGUUGGUUAUAAACUCACCUGACAUCCACAGGGCCCUUCCAAAAUACUGUCAAGGCUGACUGCUGGUGCCUGGAACCUGCACACCCUCCUGGGACUCUGCAUCUCUGCUGGGGCUGGUUUCUCCUCUGAGCCACCUUAAGGAAUCCCACCCUGACCCGGUCAGAGCUCACCAUGCCUCCCUCUCCUACUUGCUCAGCAUUUUGUGUCUAUCUAGACUGAAGCCUUUGCUUUCUCUCUGUGAUUAUGGUGAAAGUUCAGUUUGCUUUCCUAUCUCUAGAAUGUCAGCACGAAGGCA